This 304-nucleotide ribosomal RNA is filed under the name uncultured bacterium. Its description in RNAcentral is "bacterial SSU rRNA". It matches the Rfam family "Bacterial small subunit ribosomal RNA", at positions 1 to 334 of the family's 1533-position model. The record is from RNAcentral.
GUCAGAGUUGUAUCCUCGGCUCAGAACGAACGCUGGCGGCAGGCUUAACACAUGCAAGUCGAGCGCACUCUUUUAGAGUGAGCGGCAAACGGGUGAGUAACGCGUGGGAAUCUACCCCUCUCUACGGAAUAACACGGAGAAAUUUGUGCUAAUACCGUAUACGUCCCUUUUGGGAGAAAGAUUUAUCGGAGAUGGAUGAGCCCGCGUUGGAUUAGCUAGUUGGUGGGGUAAUGGCUCACCUAGCGACGAUCCCUAGCUGGUCUGAGAGGAUGACCAGCCACACUGGAACUGAGACACGGUCCAG